CCUACGGGUGGCAGCAGUGGGGAAUAUUGGGCAAUGGGCGCAAGCCUGGCCCAGCAACGCCGCGUGAAGGAAGAAUGCCCUCGGGUUGUAAACUUCUUUUAUUCGGGACGAAACAAAUGACGGUACCGAAUGAAUAAGCCACGGCUAACUACGUGCCAGCAGCCGCAGUGAUACGUAGGUGGCAAGCGUUAUCCGGAUUUACUGGGGGUAAAGGGCGUGUAGGCGGGAGAGCAAGUCAGACGUGAAAUUCCAGGGCUCAACCCUGGAACUGCGUUUGAAACUGGUCUUCUUGAGUGAGUGAGAGGCAGGCGGAAUGCGGGGUGUAGCGGUGAAAUGCGUAGAUAUACGGAGGAACACCAGUGGCGAAGGCGGCCUGCUGGACAUUAACUGACGCGGAGGCGCGAAAGCGUGGGGAGCAAACAGGAUUAGAUACCCUUGUAGUC
RNAcentral lists this ribosomal RNA (443 nucleotides) under uncultured bacterium. RNAcentral's name for it is "partial 16S ribosomal RNA". It matches the Rfam family "Bacterial small subunit ribosomal RNA", at positions 338 to 795 of the family's 1533-position model. The record is from RNAcentral.